This 67-nucleotide transfer RNA is filed under the name Omegophora armilla (ringed toadfish). Its description in RNAcentral is "tRNA-Ser(AGY)". RNAcentral also lists the same sequence under 1 other name. The record is from RNAcentral. Lineage: Eukaryota; Metazoa; Chordata; Actinopteri; Tetraodontiformes; Tetraodontidae.
GAGAGAGGCUCGUCGCAGUGAAGACUGCUAAUCUUUACCCCUUUGGUUAAACUCCAAAGCUCACUCG